UGAACGCUAGCGACAGGCCUAACACAUGCAAGUCGAGGGGCGAGCGACAAGGAGCAAUCUGAGGUGGCGACCGGCGCACGGGUGAGUAACACGUAUGCAACCUGCCUGUAAGCGGGGAAUAACCCGUUGAAAGACGGACUAAUACCGCAUAAUACUAAAUUACUGCAUGGUAAUUAUUUAAACAUUUAUGGCUUACAGAUGGGCAUGCGCAUGAUUAGCUAGUUGGAGAGGUAACGGCUCCCCAAGGCAACGAUCAUUAGGGGUUCUGAGAGGAAGGUCCCCCACACUGGUACUGAGACACGGACCAGACUCCUACGGGAGGCAGCAGUGAGGAAUAUUGGUCAAUGGACGAGAGUCUGAACCAGCCAAGUCGCGUGCAGGAAGAAUGUCCUUAAUGGAUUGUAAACUGCUUUUGCAGGGGAAUAAAGUGCAUCACGUGUGAUGUUUUGUAUGUACUCUGCGAAUAAGGAUCGGCUAACUCCGUGCCAGCCGCAGC
Molecule: ribosomal RNA, 496 nt
Filed under: uncultured bacterium
Lineage: Bacteria
Description: bacterial SSU rRNA
Rfam family: Bacterial small subunit ribosomal RNA
Source: RNAcentral